GUGCCAGCAGCCGCGGUAAUACGUAGGGUGCGAGCGUUAAUCGGAAUUACUGGGCGUAAAGCGUGCGCAGGCGGUUUUGUAAGACAGAUGUGAAAUCCCCGGGCUUAACCUGGGAACUGCGUUUGUGACUGCAAGGCUGGAGUACGGCAGAGGGGGGUGGAAUUCCACGUGUAGCAGUGAAAUGCGUAGAGAUGUGGAGGAACACCGAUGGCGAAGGCAGCCCCCUGGGCCUGUACUGACGCUCAUGCACGAAAGCGUGGGGAGCAAACAGG
This 272-nucleotide ribosomal RNA is filed under the name uncultured bacterium. Its description in RNAcentral is "partial 16S ribosomal RNA". It matches the Rfam family "Bacterial small subunit ribosomal RNA", at positions 505 to 776 of the family's 1533-position model. The record is from RNAcentral.